UUUGGAUUUGGGGGGUUUUGCUGGCCUCUUAAAAAAGGUUCAGCUCCCCUGAAAUGCAUUAGCAGAACAAUCCUUGUUCAUUGGCGUGAUAACUAUCUAUGCUAUUGAAUGUGAGGUGCAGUUCAGCUUUCUAACAGUCCUUUGGACAAAUUCAUCAUUAAUGUGACCUCAAAUCAGGUAGGACUACCCGCUGAACUUAA
This 200-nucleotide unclassified non-coding RNA is filed under the name soil metagenome. RNAcentral's name for it is "partial contains internal transcribed spacer 2 and large subunit ribosomal RNA". The record is from RNAcentral.